Molecule: ribosomal RNA, 605 nt
Filed under: Streptococcus mutans
Lineage: Bacteria; Bacillati; Bacillota; Bacilli; Lactobacillales; Streptococcaceae
Description: bacterial SSU rRNA
Rfam family: Bacterial small subunit ribosomal RNA
Source: RNAcentral
ACGAAAGUCUGACCGAGCAACGCCGCGUGAGUGAAGAAGGUUUUCGGAUCGUAAAGCUCUGUUGUAAGUCAAGAACGUGUGUGAGAGUGGAAAGUUCACACAGUGACGGUAGCUUACCAGAAAGGGACGGCUAACUACGUGCCAGCAGCCGCGGUAAUACGUAGGUCCCGAGCGUUGUCCGGAUUUAUUGGGCGUAAAGGGAGCGCAGGCGGUCAGGAAAGUCUGGAGUAAAAGGCUAUGGCUCAACCAUAGUGUGCUCUGGAAACUGUCUGACUUGAGUGCAGAAGGGGAGAGUGGAAUUCCAUGUGUAGCGGUGAAAUGCGUAGAUAUAUGGAGGAACACCAGUGGCGAAAGCGGCUCUCUGGUCUGUCACUGACGCUGAGGCUCGAAAGCGUGGGUAGCGAACAGGAUUAGAUACCCUGGUAGUCCACGCCGUAAACGAUGAGUGCUAGGUGUUAGGCCCUUUUCGGGGCUUAGUGCCGGAGCUAACGCAAUAAGCACUCCGCCUGGGGAGUACGACCGCAAGGUUGAAACUCAAAGGAAUUGACGGGGGCCCGCACAAGCGGUGGAGCAUGUGGUUUAAUUCGAAGCAACGCGAAGAACCU